This 889-nucleotide ribosomal RNA is filed under the name Anaerolineaceae bacterium enrichment culture clone HB1_8. RNAcentral describes it as "bacterial SSU rRNA". It matches the Rfam family "Bacterial small subunit ribosomal RNA", at positions 8 to 916 of the family's 1533-position model. Lineage: Bacteria; Bacillati; Chloroflexota; Anaerolineae; Anaerolineales; Anaerolineaceae. The record is from RNAcentral.
AGAGUUUGAUCCUGGCUCAGGAUGAACGUUGGCGGCGUGCCUAAUACAUGCAAGUCGAACGAAGACUGUAGUAAUACUGUCUUAGUGGCGAACGGGUGAGUAACGCGUGGGUGACCUGCCCCGAAGUGUGGGAUAACAGUUCGAAAGAACUGCUAAUACCGCAUAAUAUCCAAGAGAUUAGACGCUUUUGGAUUAAAGGAGUAAUUCGCUUCGGGAGGGGCCCGCGUCCCAUCAGCUAGUUGGUAAGGUAAUGGCUUACCAAGGCGAUGACGGGUAGGGGACCUGAGAGGGUGGCCCCCCACAAUGGAACUGAAACACGGUCCAUACACCUACGGGUGGCAGCAGUAGGGAAUAUUAGUAAUGGGCGAAAGCCUGAACUAGCAACGCCGCGUGUGCGAAGAAGGCCUUCGGGUUGUAAAGCACUUUUUGAGAGGAUGAGGAAGGACGGUACUCUCAGAAUAAGUCUCGGCUAACUACGUGCCAGCAGCCGCGGUAACACGUAGGAGGCAAACGUUAUCCGGAUUUACUGGGCGUAAAGCGCGUGUAGGUGGUUUGGUAAGUAGGGCGUGAAAGCUCCUGGCUCAACUGGGAGAGGACGUCCUAAACUGCCAAGCUUGAGGAUGGUAGAGGGAGGUGGAAUUCCGGGUGUAGCGGUGGAAUGCGCAGAUAUCCGGAGGAACACCAGUGGCGAAGGCGGCCUCCUGGACCACUCCUGACACUCAGACGCGAAAGCUAGGGUAGCAAACGGGAUUAGAGACCCCGGUAGUCCUAGCCCUAAACGAUGUAGACUUGGCGUCGGUGGUUUAAUCGCCAUCGGUGUCGUAGCUAACGCGUUAAGUCUACCGCCUGGGGACUACGGCCGCAAGGUUAAAACUCAAGGAAUUGACGG